Molecule: ribosomal RNA, 301 nt
Filed under: uncultured bacterium
Lineage: Bacteria
Description: partial 16S ribosomal RNA
Rfam family: Bacterial small subunit ribosomal RNA
Source: RNAcentral
CAGUAGCCACGGUAAUACGGAGGGGGUUAGCGUUGUUCGGAAUUACUGGGCGUAAAGCGCACGUAGGCGGCUUGGUAAGUUAGAGGUGAAAGCCCGGAGCUCAACUCCGGAAUUGCCUUUAAGACUGCCGAGCUAGUAGGUGAGAGAGGUAAGUGGAAUUCCGAGUGUAGAGGUGAAAUUCGUAGAUAUUCGGAAGAACACCAGUGGCGAAGGCGGCUUACUGGCUCAUUCUAGACGCUGAGGUGCGAAAGCGUGGGGAGCAAACAGGAUUAGAUACCCCUGUAGUCCCUGUCUCUUAUAC